RNA transcript from Harpia harpyja (harpy eagle), 4449 nucleotides. It is a transcript of the gene named ring finger protein 139, with no coding region annotated. The record is from RefSeq and is a predicted model, not a curated record. NCBI's taxonomy places the organism in Eukaryota, Metazoa, Chordata, Aves, Accipitriformes, Accipitridae. The transcript has 6 exons.
AGGGCGUCCUGACGGGGCGAGGGAGGCCGCGCCGGCGCCCGCUACCGCCUCAGGGCCGGGGCCGACGGCCCUCGCCCCUGAGGGGGAGCUCGCCUGGCAGCGGGGGAGGGAAGGGCCGGGGCGCGGCCGGUCUGAGGGGCGUAGAUUAGGCGGCAGUGGGGGCUUAGCAGCUGCUCUCCUCCUCGCCCCCGGCGCUCGGAGAAGCUCCCUCCCAACCUCUUGGUAUUAUAUCCGUUAUUAAGGUACCUGUAAGCCCAUAGGGCGUCUUCUCAGUAACAAGAGGUGUCCCCGGCCCUCGCCGGCCUCCGGUAUUGUACCGGAAUACGGGAGACAAGGUUUUGCUUGUCUUUCCCGUUUUUCAGGCCCUUGCCUUGGAGUGUCACAGCGUUGCAACAUGCAGGGUUUGGUUUAGUACAUUUUAGCCGCGCAGAGCGUUUCUGUUCUUUUUAAUUAGUUGGCAGGCAUUCUGUUUGAGCCACUCAGUAUGGUUAUUUUUUAAAAAAAUACGCAUUUAGGAGGCAGCCUACAUCUUGAAGGAACAGAAGGUGUUUUAAAACCAGAUUUUAAGUCUUCUGCUGCAUGGUCUGAACGCUUCCCUGGUACAUAUGCCAUCCUAGGGGUUAAUCCAGGUUCUGUUUUUUCAAAACACUGUAUUCAGAAAGUAUUAGAUUUUGUAAUUAGCCUGCAAAGAUCCUAAAUAACCAGAACCACAAGGGACUCACUCACUAUAUGCCUAGCUCAUUUAAUACUAAGCUUGAUUACACCAGACUACAAAGACAGAGCAAAGAAGGAACACUGGUACCUGGCAAGAAAGGAGACUUCCUAUCUUUCCUACCAAUGCAGCCCAUGCCAGCCAUGCUGUACAUCUGUUGCAAAAGGAAUGAAGACAGACAGGUUCCUUUAAGCCAUGCCACAAGCUCCCAUAUGUUAUGAGUAUCCUCAUUUUCUGGAAGCUUGACAGUGUUCUAAACCAGCAAAUGAACUCUUUUCUCAGCAGGGUCAUGGUUCACUGUUGGCAAUCCCUGAGAGUGCGCUUGCUGUACCAGUUGUGUAAAUGAAGCAGUAUUACCAGGAGCAAGGCACUUCCCUUGGCACUAAAUUCAAAAUGGCCCAAUGAAGCUGAUAUCCAGCUGUUACAGGAGAGCUGCUAAGAUUUGAUAGUGACUGGAGCGAUGACCAGGAUGGAGAUCAGUGAUGGACGACAGACUGAAGAACACAACUGGAGAAGGAGGGCUUGUAGUAGGAGAUAUAUCAGAAAACUAAGGAAUCUGUUGAAAACGGUGAUGUUUCCAAAAGACAGCAUGAGUACUGAAGGCUCAGAACUACCACAGCCUUUUUUCACAGGAGACAAAACCCAAAGGCUCUUUCUCUGGACAGUUUUACAGAAAACUGUAAAGCCAUGAACAGCAAGGCCUAAUGCAUUUCUUCACAAUCAUCUCUUUAAAGAGAAUGAGAAAGUUUGUCAUUAAAAGAAUAUGGGGAAAAUUACAGAACUAAGAGAUUUUCCUCAUGCAGAUGAUGCACUUGUAAGUCUUGUCUCCUGUCAGAGAUGACCCAAGACUCAUCCCCGUGUUUUGACUCUCCAGCGCAUGCCUUGCUUUGUCAAGACAGAAAACUCUUCCAGGCAUUUGGAACUUUCCAAGUGAGUGUUCUCUUCAAGUAACAAGCAUAAAACCACCAUCCUCCAUUGAGGGAAAGGGAAAGAGAAUGAGUGCUCAUGUGUUACACACACUGUCACUUCAUGCAGAUCUGAAAUCAAAAUUGAUCUUUCACACAAACAAGUUAUUACAAUUUAUUUUGUCAAAUAUUUACUGUGAGUAAAUUGCUUUCUGCCUUCUUAGCUUCUUUUAAGAAAUGCUAUCUAAGCUCAUGGUAUUUAGCUGUAGGGAAGGAAUAAAACCCAAACUUAAUACAAUAACUAAUCUUAAACACAUUAACUCUUAUAAGGAAAUUCUUAAUAUAUUGAAAAGGUCCCUGUGUCAAUAACAACAUUUACAGGUUUUACCUUAGCUUUUCAAAUGUUAUCUUGAUUUGCUCUUUUUCUCUUCAGAAGAAGACACAGAUGCAAACUAUUCUUGGGUAAAGACUACCGAUGUCUUUAAUUGUAGUAUUAAAACCAGUCAUGUGAGCGUAAAUCGUUUCCAUUGAACCUUAAGUAGUAAUACAUUAGUCUUUAAAUAUUUUGCAAGUACCACAUUGGAAGCAUCACAUACGAAAGUCUAUCUAUACCUAACUGCAGAACAACAAGUUAUACAUAGGAAAGUCAACACAUCUAUCUGCAUUAGCUGGCAAUUCAUUCUCAUUAGUAGCACACACACUGACAAAGCGCGAACACUGCGUUCAGGCAGGCAGAACUGAUGACACAAGCUGUCCUCCGCAGGAGGUAAUGAGCAGCUUCACCAAGGCACAGCUGGGGGUCACCCACAUGCUGAAUCCACCAAAGCCUAUGUUAAUACAACACUGAUAUUUGGCUUUUAAAAAAAUGCCGAUUGGUCUCUUUUAUGCUAGAAUAUCAUCCUAGGAGAAGAAAAUCCACUUUAGGUUCCUUUCAUGACUCUUGGUUUUUGUUUCAGUCCAAAAUAUAGACAUCCUUACUGGCUGUAAUGAAAAAGCUGCUAUGACAAAAUGAAAGAUAACCUGUACAGAGCUUUAUUCUUCUAUAAAGAAUGCAAAAUGAUACUGGGUAAUUCACCGCAAAAGGUAUCUAGGAAGGAGAAAUGAAAUUUGGAAAUAGUUAAUGGAUUGCUACGUUCAUUGCAACCUAAAACCAAUUUUUGACAUGCACAUUUUGCACUGUUUUUCUUGGCAGCCAACUGUUUUCAUUCUUACAAAAUUUAUUGUAUCAGGCUAAAUCUACAUGUGGUAUUCCAAGGCAAAGAUAUCGUGUGUAUUUAAAGCUUUUCAGGAUCUUGUAGUUAGAAAAAGCCCCAGUACUCUAAAACCUUCCCUGCAUUUUUAUUCUUUUCACUUAUAAAAAUGGGAUUUUUGCAAGACCAUGUGAUUUGGUAGUAUCUGAUGUAAGCAUUGGUGCUAAUCCAGUCAAGCUUUUGGGUUGAAGGGCUCAUGAGAGCAAUUAAGGAAAAGGAGGAGUUUUAAAAACUCAAAAGUUGUUUUGCCAAAAAAGUUGUUCUAGAUGUGGCCAUCCUAUAUGGGCACAGACCCUAAACAUGGCCUCGGCAGAGUGGUAUAGAAAAUACGCAGCUCUACCAUUCCGUAAGAUAAUAAAGAUUGCUUUAUGUCCAGUUAUUUCAGUGCGUGCUAGUUACACAGCUGUAGUUUAACAAAACCAUCAGAUGCUGCUCUUGAUAAUUUGUAUUUAUGCAGUUCCUGUGGUUCUAAAAAUAUCAAAAUUGAAAAAUGUUAACAGCUUUUGAAAAAACUGUAUGAAUUUUGACCACUUUGAGCUGUCAAAAAAAUCCCCAAAAUCAUUUUUACAUGACUGAGAGCAAACCCCCAACCUUCUGCCACAUGCCGUAUAGAACGCCAAAGAAUUCCAGUGACUUGUUAUUGAAAUAAAUUGAUCUGUGACUUUCUGACUCAUAGCCUGAUACAGGAGGUGUAUUAAAUUAUUCGGAAAGCAUUUUCGAGUGUUAAGUUCUUAUUUAUUACGAAACAGCUCCCUAGGGCAUGUUCUUCUGCGCUGCCUUGUCACGGGGUGUAGGCUUGACACUCGACAUGUUUACCAAGUCAGGUACACGCAGCCACAACGACACAUGGAACAACCUUCACCUUGGAGUUCAGGACUAUUUGCCCUUAACAGUUAAUCUAUGUAGACAAAUAAAGGAUAUAAAUAAUAUAAUAAAGGCUUAAUUUGUAUGUUAGUUUAUGAACAAAAAAUUGCAGAAGUCCCCAACUAAGAAAACUUUUUUUUGUACGAGUAUUAAUAUGAAUUUACUUAGAAUAGGAUUUAACCCCCAGAUUUACAAAGAAGUGGAGACUGCAUUUAACCCUAGAAAUAAUACGACAAGUUUUCCUGAAUUUGUAUAUAUAACUGAAGUGAAUUCAGUAGUUAUGCUUGCAUAACAAAGUUGAAUUUGGUUUAUUAUUCCACAUUUGAAACUAUGCAGUACAAAUUGCAAAAUUAAAAAUAUCCAGUAGGUGUCAUCUUCCUACAUAUUGUAGGUAUGAUAAUCAAGUUUAGAUUUUUUUUUUUAACUGAAAUGAAAAGUACGAGUCUUAGACACUGCAACAAGUUUUCUGAAGAACGCGCGUAAAAAAUGUAUGAAUUUGAUCUGAUACGCUUUACUAACACUAGGAUUUCUGGAAUAUUUGCAACCUGGAACUGUUUAUGCACAAAAUGAUUUGCAGAUAUCCAUGACUGUACUUACAUGCCUAAAUAAGAUCUGUAAAAUAUGCCUGUAAAUGCACGUUAUUUAAACCUGAAAAUCCAUUUAAUGGAUUCCAUUUAAUCCAUGUGUCCUUAAAGCAAUAUAAAUAUGUACUACAGCA